Small nuclear RNA from Octodon degus (degu), 106 nucleotides. Lineage: Eukaryota; Metazoa; Chordata; Mammalia; Rodentia; Octodontidae. The record is from Ensembl.
CUUGCUUUUGCAGCAAGUACAGUAAAAACUGAAACUAUAUAGAAAAGAUGACCAUGACCCAUGUGCAAGGAUGUCACAGAAAAUUUGCGAAGUACCCUAUAUUUUA